Molecule: ribosomal RNA, 508 nt
Filed under: uncultured archaeon
Lineage: Archaea
Description: bacterial SSU rRNA
Rfam family: Archaeal small subunit ribosomal RNA
Source: RNAcentral
GAUGGGUCUGCGGCCUAUCAGGUAGUAGUGGGUGUAACGUACCUACUAGCCUACGACGGGUAAGGGUUGUGAGAGCAAGAGCCCUGAGAUGGAUUCUGAGACAUGAAUCCAGGCCCUACGGGGUGCAGCAGGCGCGAAAACUUUACACUGCGGGAAACCGCGAUAAGGGGACCCCGAGUGCCAGCACCUAGUGCUGGCUGUCCAGCUGUUCAAAAAACAGUUGUUAGCAAGGGCCGGGCAAGACCGGUGCCAGCCGCCGCGGUAACACCGGCGGCCCGAGUGGUAGCCGUUAUUAUUGGGUUUAAAGGGUCCGUAGCCGGCCUAUUAAGUCUCUUGGGAAAUCUGGCGACUCAAUCGUCAGGCGUUCAAGAGAUACUGUUAGGCUUGGGACCGGGAGAGGUGGGAGGUACUCCAGGGGUAGGGGUGAAAUCUCGUAAUCCUUGGGGGACCACCGAUGGCGAAGGCAUCCCACCAGAACGGGUCCGACGGUGAGGGACGAAAGCUGGGG